AUUGAACGCUGGCGGCAGGCCUAACACAUGCAAGUCGAACGGUAACAGGAAACAGCUUGCUGUUUCGCUGACGAGUGGCGGACGGGUGAGUAAUGUCUGGGAAACUGCCUGAUGGAGGGGGAUAACUACUGGAAACGGUAGCUAAUACCGCAUAACGUCGCAAGACCAAAGAGGGGGACCUUCGGGCCUCUUGCCAUCGGAUGUGCCCAGAUGGGAUUAGCUAGUAGGUGGGGUAACGGCUCACCUAGGCGACGAUCCCUAGCUGGUCUGAGAGGAUGACCAGCCACACUGGAACUGAGACACGGUCCAGACUCCUACGGGAGGCAGCAGUGGGGAAUAUUGCACAAUGGGCGCAAGCCUGAUGCAGCCAUGCCGCGUGUAUGAAGAAGGCCUUCGGGUUGUAAAGUACUUUCAGCGGGGAGGAAGGGAGUAAAGUUAAUACCUUUACUCAUUGACGUUACCCACAGAAGAAGCACCGGCUAACUCCGUG
RNAcentral lists this ribosomal RNA (490 nucleotides) under uncultured bacterium. RNAcentral describes it as "partial 16S ribosomal RNA". It matches the Rfam family "Bacterial small subunit ribosomal RNA", at positions 30 to 507 of the family's 1533-position model. The record is from RNAcentral.